Non-coding RNA from Cajanus cajan (pigeon pea), 75 nucleotides. The record is from Rfam. NCBI's taxonomy places the organism in Eukaryota, Viridiplantae, Streptophyta, Magnoliopsida, Fabales, Fabaceae.
GAGAUAUGAUGAGUUCUACAUUGGUCCGUGUUUCUGAAUCACCGUGACCGACAACUUCUUCCAAUUUCUGAUCUC